GAGUCUAGGCAGGUGAUGGAUACCCAUAAAGACCAGGGAACUGGAGAGAGGGAGAUGGACUCACUAAGACUUGAUAAGAAAUGUGGGAAAGGAUUUGGUGAACUGUCAGACUCUUGGGUAAUCAGAACAGAAAACACUGCCAUCAAAUUACAACAGCAAAGAUAGAAAUUUGCUUUUAUUGGAGUAGGAGUAGAGAUUCCAAGUUUGUUCAUGUUGAGUUAAAUAUAUGUAGGACAUAGGUACCCAUACCGGACUCUUGCCCAGUGACACGUAGCAUCUUCAGUGUCCUCGGAGGUGAGGUAGACAUGAAAGGUACUUUCUACCCUGGAGUUGUUGUACUUUCCUUUCCCUAAGAAUUUCUGGUGUUCCUUACUGAAAACGGCACACGGGUUUUCCCAUGUAUGCACCUUGCAUUCAUCCAAUAAUACUUUUUAAAAUAACAUAAGCAAUCAAAGAAUACUUGAAGGGAUUUGCACCAAGGCAGAAACAGAACACCCAGGCAGUCGAAUACUGUGGCUCUGUCCUUACCUAUUCAAGCACACGGCGCUGACCUUUCAACUCGGUUGUUUUCAUUGGACAGCAGGUUGCCUAUCAGCGGAAGGACUUUAAAGACACACAUAUAAUCACAGCAGUCUGAACUAGUGGAGAAAAGUCAGACCUCCCGUGGGAAGCAGGAAAUACCUUAAGGAUUGUGGAGAAUGGCAAAGUAAAAGCAAGCUGCUGCCUCUGUCUGGCCGUCUAUGGAGCGUGCUGACAGAGGACUAAGGUGUUCCCCAGACAAGCAGGUCUCCUGAGGAAAAAGAAGCUAGUUCAAGCUCACUGAUCCCCUCCCUGCCUGUCUGGAGUGAUGCAGCAACAGCCCUUCUGCUAAUUUCCUUCUCUCUUCUUGUAGCUUCAAGAAUCUCUCAUCUUAGUCAGCUGACAGUUGGUACACUCAGGAAAGCAUCCAGGAAUUUUUUAUAUUGUGCCCUUAUUAACCAUAACACUUCUUAAGUUAAGCAACGUUAGACACAUGGCAGCUCUAAGUGUCCAGGUCUCAAUUUCUAAUUCCCAAAUCUUCCCCUCCCCUGCCACUGUUUUUGCCCCACCCCAAGACAAGAGUUUCACUAUGUAGCCCUGGCUGUCCUGGAACUAUGUAGAUCAGGCUAACCUCAAACUCAGAGAUCCGCCUGCCUCUGCCUUCUAAGGGCUGGGGUAGAAGGCGUGCAGCACCAUCCCUGGUAUGCCCUGUCACUUUUUAAUAAGAUUUACGCUUUGUUCAGUUUCAAGAUUAGGGGCUGAGGCUAGGCAGGAGACAGUGCUGAGCUACAUCUCCAGUCCUUUUAAAUGUGGGGGAGAAGGGCUUAGUAAGUUACCAGGCUGUCCUGAAUUAUAGAUGCUAUCUUCCCGGCACAGGCACAGCACCUGACCAGGACUGGCUUCACCGAAACACGGAGUACCCAUACUGAGUAACGAGCACCUGUGAAUAAGCAACUCUAGGGACGCCCUUCAUGCCGUGCACUCGUUCUGGAUAGAUGCUAUUUGUUUCCACCAUCUUUUAAAAAAUAGGCUUUCAUAUAGGAGACCCACUAUACAAAUUAAACUUCACAUUAUAAACUCUAAAGAACUCUAUACUUAUCCAAUUUAGUAUUCAAGUAUACGGGGGUGGGGAGAGCAAAUGACAACGCCUUUAUUAUUAAAGGUUACUAAGUUCCAUAAAGCACACAAAGUAACCUAUGUUCAACAAAAGGUUGGUACAUGUAUUGAAAAAUAUGUAACAAAUCUGUCUGUCUUAAUAUUUACAUUCUAUUUAAAAGUAGUUACUUUACAUAUUUUUGCAAUUUGAUUUAUAAAAUAUAUAUACCCAAAUCCUCAAGCAUGAACUUCCAUUCCUAAUCAAAUGCACAAUCUAUACUGUGAACCAAACAUUAUGGCAGCAACAACAUGAACAAAUUCAAUUUGACCUGAACAUGUACUUAAUUCGUGGCUACUAGGUAAUUAGUUCCACUCAAAUAAUUCUUUACUGUGUGCCUGUGCAUGUGUUUGCUGUUAUUAUGAAGAGACUUGCAUCUUCAUGACAUCUGGUACAAAUCUCACAACGCCUUCAGAGUCCUCUUGCAAGCUUUAAGACAGUGGAGGUUUUCAGUCUUUCUACAGACAGGGACUGUGACAAGUUACACGUCACACAAAGUCCAGAAAGAGUUUUCAGUAUGCUUUGUCUUUGAGAAAACAACCUACAUGAUUGCAUCAGCUAGUCCUGAAAACCCAGGUGGUGUGCUCACCAAGAGAGCAAGAACUCAGUCUCUGUCACCGCCAGCUCUUCACGCGCACUAGAGAGCCCAGGGGUGGGGAGACUUGAGUCUACUCAGGCCUUCCUUUCACACAAUCAAAGCAGCGCAACGCAACUUAACUAACAGAAGUUUUUAGGACAAUCUUAUAAUCACUCAGAGGUGAAAAACCACACGUUAAGUAUCAACAACUCUGAGAACUGGAAUAACUAUUACCUCACUGACCAGAUCAACGCACUUAGCAAAGAGCUAAGUCUGAAAAAUUCAGAUUCUCUGUGCCUCUAAAGAGAAUGAUGUCUAAAAUUCUGUCUUUAAAGUUAAUGAAUAAUUUAUGCUGGGAAAAAAGUCACCCAUAAAUAAUUUCAGGAAAAUAACACCAUAUCUAAAGGUAAAAACAACUCAAUGUGAGAAGCAGUAGACUCUGGGAGAGUCCCUAUCUAAAAGGAAACAAGCAGAAACCCUCCAUGUCACUACUGAGAAAUUCAACCACAGGUCACAGCUUAUUUCUGUCAAUUACCCAAUAUAUUUAACAACCUGCUGAUGAAAUGAAGUUAGGUACCAAAAUAAUAAUGUUAUUUAUAGAAAGUAGUUUUUCUUAAAAUUUCCAGAUUUAAUUUUAACAAUAUUCCAUCCUAGAUUCCCUAACUUAAAACAAAAACCAAAACCUAACUUCAAAGUCAGAAAAGUAAAUUGUGGAAGACACUGAGCAUCUGUGAGCAGAGGGGGAAAAAGGGAGCCCUCGGGAGGAAAACAAGGGCUGGAGCAGCUGCUGCAACAGACACCUUCGCAGGUCACAACUAUGCCAAAGCCUUAGAGAUCUUGGCACAACACGCACCAGAGCUGACUUUCAGGCUCUGGGGCCAACUGCUGGGCUCUGACAUGGUGCAAAUGGAGCUCAGGGCCUCCUCAGGGCAGCUGCCACUGAGUGACACUCUCAGCCCUAAAAAUGAAUCUUCAGAAAGGUACUUUUUGUAAACCAAUUUACAUGCAUAUUCAACUAAACAUAAUUAUAAAUGUUAAGCUUUCAACUAAGAUAUAUAAAAAACUAAUAAAAAUAAAACCAACCUUUGAAUACACAGUACCUCCUCUUCUACUCUUCUAAAAAGUUUUAACAAGUUUUAAACAUUGCAAUUCUCAAAAACAAUAGGGUUUUUUAAAAGAUUCCAUUACCAGAAAUAACUUAUCUACAUGCCACUGUUGUAUCACUAAUCAUUUCUAUUACUGCCAAUUUAUCUUUAAUGGAACAAACCAGUCACUAGGUAUCUGUUUUAGAAUCUCAAAAAAUUACUAACCAUUGCAGGAAACUAAUGAUAUGUGUGUGUUUGCAUAUAUUUAAAGUCAGAAGGAGAAACAGUAAAGCACCCUAGUUACUCCUCUACACCCACUCGAAGGAACAAGGAUCACCGCCCUUCUCCCCCGGACUGCUGACCACAUAAAAGUGCCAUCCCUUUCUCCCAGGGCUUGAAAAAUGCUCUUUCCCGCUGGCUACACCAAUAAUUACACAUUAUACGAUUUUAGCAGUAAAUAUUGACUUCUGAAGAGAACAACAAACUGCAUCUUUACAAAAUUUUCCCACAAAACUGAAAAUAACUUUCUCCAUUAAGACUAUAGCAUUUGUCUUUAUUCAUAAGGGCACCAAGUUCAUAACUGCAGAAACAAGGAGCUGCGUGGGUCACAAGUGUUUAAAACGCUGGAGGGAGAGACAGACAGACAGACACAGACUUUAAGUGUAAAAUAUAAUGUUGCAGGUUAGUACUCAAUGGCGGGAAUUCAGGGAGGAGGAAAUGAGCUCAGAGUACCUCAUAUAAAUUUCUUGUAAUCCUGGUUCUCUUUCAAUAAUGUUACAGCAAAAUAUUUGUUUUAUUGAAGCCACAAUUUUCCCUCACCUGAACAAUGACCCAGAUACACAUCUUACAUCUUUAAUAAUGUCAAACAAAUGCAAGUGUAAAAGAAUUUUCAAUGACUCCUAAAUUCAAGGGAGUAGUAUUAAUCUGAUUAUUAUUUAUUAAUAGUUGAUGUUCCUAUAUUUUAGAUAUAUAUUCCUUGUUUCUUCACUUGGAACCAAAAGUAAACAAAAAUUGUCUGGUUUCCACUCUUUCCGUCCAUCUCGCUGAAUCUGUGUUCUAGAUCUGUACAUACAAAGGUAUAAAACACUGAGUCUGUGUUCUAGAUCUGUACAUACAGAGGCAUAAAACACUGAAUCUGUGUUCUAGAUCUGUACACACAGAGGUACAUUAAAACACUGAGUCUGUGUUCUAGAUCUGUACGUACAGAGGUAUUAAAACACUGAGUCUGUGUUCUAGAUCUGUACAUACAGAGGUAUAUUAAAACAGAGUCUGUGUUCUAGAUCUGUACACACAGAGGUAUAUUAAAACAGUGAGUCUGUGUUCUAGAUCUGUACACACAGAGGUAUAUUAAAACACUGAAUCCGUGUUCUAGAUCUGUACAUACAGAGGUAUAUUAAAACACUGAAUCCGUGUUCUAGAUCUGUACAUACAGAGGUAUAUUAAAACACUGUCGUAAAGACAACUCAAGCUGGCACCUGAUGCUACUGCACUGCUAAUGCCUGGCCUGGCGUAUCGAUUCCUUUGGUGAAUAAGCAUCACAGUUCACUUCCCAUGGGAGGAUUUUAGUAAGAGGACUACGAACACAGAAAAGCUCCCCGUCUUGCCCCACCCUACCCUGAAAAAAAUCAAGCUAUUUAGUAUUUUAGAGCAGCGACAUAAAAUAUGGGAACACCUAAUUUAGAGCUAUAAUUCCAUAUUAAAAGCAGUGGAAAACUAAGAAUUUAAAGAUUUUUUUUGUCUUAAAUAGGCCAACUAAUAAAACUAACGAUGAUCACCGGGAGAACUCAUGCACAUCCAGUCGACAGAAGAAAAUGAUUACAAUCUUUAACAAAUGACCAUUGCUACCUAGCAGUAUAAACAGGCUCCACAAUUUGGUGGCUGGCCAUAAUUUUAAUUUUUUUUCAAGUUAUUUCUACAGCAGACAUAUUUUUGAAGUCUACCCACCCCUGAGUUCAGCAGUUAUCUUUUAGAGUGUAAAAUUAUAUGCCCUUAAUUAACAACAUGUACAAAGCUACAAAAUGUCAUCUACACAGAGAUUAAAAACAAUUUUUAAAAUAUUCUUUCCCAAUCAUCAGCUGGAUGAUCUUAGGGGUACAUAUGUCAGACCUUUCGGCCAACUGGCUUUAGUUUUUAAGCCCCAAUCGAUGAAUAGAGUCACUGCAGGAUAUUCGAAGAGUGCAACAGUAAGGCAUUAGUAAAAAUGACAUUGUCAUAGAAACAGAGCUUGCAUAUGUGAAAAGGUAAUUUAUAAAAUACAUUAAUUGAUUCUUAAAAAGACCUAGUUGUAGCAUCAUUAACUUACAUGGUACAUGGUACUUAGAAUGGAAUCUUUCCAACAACCAUCUUAUAGAUUAGAUAUAGACAGAUAGACAAGUACAGAUGACAGACAGAAAAACUUCAUCUAGCGGUAAGCAAAAUCUUUUCAACAAAUAAAACAAAUUCUUCCAAGAAAACCUGUAUGGUUGUGUGAGACAAAUCUGCAAACAUAUCAUUUUAUGGUGUUCUUUUGUCAAAAUCUUAAAAUAAAAAUGUCCACACUCUUUUGUUAAAACAUUAAGCCUCUGUCAAAAAUGUAUUUCUCAUUUUAGGGUACAGGAUUGAAGGACAAGAUGAUACAAGUAAAGAAAAUUUACAAGAAAAAAACUUGACAAAAGUCUUUCAAUUAAAGUACUGUAACAUUCAAACAACUUAAAAUGUAACAAAAGAAACAAGAUUACAAACAAAAAUGUUUAUGGAUUUCCAAACAUAAAUAAAUGAAAUAGUGUUUAGGCAGUAGGGCUCAUGCUGAUGGCUAGCAGGAAGUAACAGAGUGUAAUAUACUUGGGGGAAAAAAAAAACAGGCCCAAAUGAUGGGUGGCAGUAAUUUAAGCAUCACUGCCAACU
Molecule: long non-coding RNA, 6217 nt
Organism: Alexandromys fortis (reed vole)
Lineage: Eukaryota; Metazoa; Chordata; Mammalia; Rodentia; Cricetidae
Exons: 2
Source: RefSeq, a predicted model, not a curated record